GGGUGGGCGGAGCCGCGGCCGGGCAGUUCAUUAUGUUGGACAGGGCGCGUCUGCGCCUCCGGCCGCCGCGGCUCCCGGGGCCUCCGCCUGCAGCCGGCGGCGGAACGAGGGCAGGCGGCUGAGACAGGCGAGCUAUUUGCAUUCCCCGGCAGUCAUUUUUAUAUGCGGAGGUAAUGAAGUUGUCAGCGGCGCCCCGAGUGUGGCAGAGCCUGAUAUUCAAAUCGCCCUGCCCGCUCCGCCUGCUCCCGCCCGCUGGUCCCGGGAGCCCCAGGCUGCGCGCGCCCGCACCGCAUCGCCGCUUUGCCCCGCGACCGCGCGCGCCUCCUCGUCCUCCCCCGCGCCUUUGUUUCCGUCUCCUUCUCCUUUCCCUCCUCUUUUGUGUCGGGCCAGACUCAGCCCCAGAAACCAGCCACCCUGCCGCGUCCGACUGCCAGGGAUCCCUCACGCCGCGAGGUGGAGUCUCGCUCUGUCGCCCAGGCUGGAGUACAGUGGUGCGAUCUUGGCUCCCUGCAACUUCUGCCUCCCAGGUUCAAGCGAUUUUCCUGCCUCAGCUUCCUGAGUAGCUGGGACUACAGGAAGAGACACUAGAGAGACACUCAGCUGCAGUGAGAAUACACAGGCAUCUUCAAGUACCAGAGAUGUCUCCAAGAGCACCAGCAACCCCAGCUAUCUGGAUCUGAAGUGGAUAUGCUCAGAGACAUCCUGGCCCACCCCAAAGAAGAUGCUGCUGCACUCAGAAGACGCCAGAGCUAGCCACCACCCACACUGCAAGUCUGGAAGCUCUGCAAGGACCCAGCAAGGCAGCCUGCUCAGCGAAGGCUUUGUCUCCUGUGGCAGGAAGAGCAACAUUAAGAACAAGAACCCCGGGCUGGACUACCCCUGAGAUUUAAUGACCAGAGCUGAGACCCCCAAGACCACAAUGACUAUGGAGGGCUGUCAUUACCCUGCCUGACCCUCUAAUGCCUCUCAGUUCAAGGAGGCCACUGAGUGAAACUGAAGGCUGGUUUUCCUUGGAAGCCAGCGGCCCAUCCACCUGCUCCACUUCCCUGCCUCUUGCAGCCUCCGCUCAAACACUGUCGUGGCUUGGCAGCACUACAAGUAUUUCAGGGGCUGCCAAGCUGCUCUCCUGUUUCCUCUUCCUUGGGGCUGAUUGCAUCCCAUGAUGUGCCCAGGUUUUGAGAUGCUCCUCGUGAAUGAAAAUAGGACUGUCUGGUUCCUCCAUCCAUAGCAAGGGAGCCUAGACAGAAAUAACUUCUGUGCAUUUCUCCAGCUACAUUUAGGGAAAACUAGAAAAUACAGAAAUAUAUCAAGAAGAAAAAAAAUUUAAAAAUGACCCAAAAUCCCACCAACCAGAGACAGCUAUUAAUGAUUGUGGUAUAUUUAUUGAAUUUACUAAAGUCAUGCUAUACGCUAGGCACUGUGGAGGGACUGCAGAAAGACUUCAAGGACUGCACCGUCUUGUUAGAAAGAUGCCUAGACAACAUUUGAGAAACGCUGAUCAUGUCUGAUGACACAUAACUGCUAACAGUUACAUGGAAUUUUCUAUAUGCUAUAUACAAACAUACAAAUAUAUGUAUGUAUAUUUACUCAGCUCUCACAACAGCUACUACUGUUAUUAUGAAUCCUGUUUUAUAGUGAGAAAACUGAAACAUGGAGAGGUUAAGUAAUUUGCCCAAGAUCACAUAGCUACUAAGUGGUGGAACUGUGAUUAGAAUCCAGGCAUUCAGGCUCCAGAGUUCAUACUCUUCACAUACCACAUCUAUCUUGAAUAUAACAAUGUAGAGAAAAAGAAUUAUAGCAAGCAUAUGUCUAGGUAAGCAUUUUCCAGAAGUGACUGUUUUUUUGCAUUGGGUUUGUAAACUUUCAACAAUAAAGCAGGUUGGACUUUAUAUCAGUCAAAGCAGAAUAUUCUGAUGUCACCUUCCCCAAUGUUUAGGAUGUUAAUGAGAAUUGCUAAUCCAAGAGAAGAAAAUAAUCUCAUCUAAUUUGGGUAAGUCAAUUAUUUGAAAGUAGAAGAACCACCCUUCCACCUCUCUUGUUCUAAGGAACCUCUGGGGGAAGUACUGGAAAAAUAAUGCUUUCUAAUAAGCCCAAUAGGGCUUUUGAUUUGUAAUAACUAUUUUAAUAAGUAUCAGUUCAAUUCCUAUUAUUUUUAAGAAGUUCAUUGAAUGAAUUAAAGAACAAAUGAAUGAGCAAUGCUUUAGGCUAUAGGCUUUCAGAGGACGUAAUUCUAUGAAACAGACUCAGUGGUAUGCUGGCACCAGCUCCUACUUGCGUCUCUUUUCAACUUUGUGUUCAGUGACUUUGCCUUGGUAGCUUGACAUCAGCCAUGGUGGGAAUAUUUAAACUAAAUAACUGAGAAAAUGAUUCAUAUUAGAGAGCUUUCUUUUUUCCCGGGAACUAAGUGUUAAACAUUUACCAGCACACCACUGCCUAGACUUGUUAGGAAAUUCACAAGUGAGAAGAAAUUCUGUGAUUCCAGGAGAUGAAAGAGGGAAGUGUAAUGAGAAUAUCAACUUGAGUAUUUUAUCCGUUGCUUUCUUUAAUUGGGUCAUUUCAGAGGGUGGGUAGAUUUUGUUAAGACAGUUGAAAUAUUUAGGUAGGUAGAGGGGUGAGUGCAGUUGAAGAGUAAAGGCUGUUUGGGGCAGACAAAAGAAUGAUAGCACUCUUUCAAGUGCUCUGCCACCAGCAGUAAAAGUCGGGAGAAGGACCUAGCACCAGGACACGUGAUCUGUCCGGCGUAAGCGAGUGCUGAGUCAAAGGCCUGCAAUUCAGGCCCCUGCUCUGGGGCACGGUCAGUUUCAGCCAGGCCCAACUCUCUUUCCCAGGUCCAUGGCGUGGAUGGCACCCAGAAUCCAGCAGGGGAGUGCUGGUGGAUACACCUGGGAGGGCCUGGUGGAGGAUCAUUUGCGUGCAGAAAUAAGGAAAUAGACAUAUUUGAGCUGGAAGAAAAUCUUACAUGUCUGAUCCAAUUCUCUCAUUUCACAGAUAAGGAAAAGGGGCCCCAAAGAGUGAAGAGGGGAUGUCCUGAGGUCAUGAGGCUGGCUUACAGCAAGGAUCUGGACCAGACAGCAGGGUGGGACCCUCAGCUGUCCCCAUACUUGCUGCUUGAUAUUGGAUAGGUUAUUUAGGCUCUAUGUGUUUUCUCAUAAACACAUAGAGGUUAGGUAAAAAUGGUGGUGUGAGAAUGAACUAAUACAUGUAAAGAGCUUGCAUGUAGUAAGCUCUCAAUAAAUAUUAAUAAUACUGGGCACAGUGGCUCACACCUGUAAUCCCAGCACUUUGAGAGGCCAAGGCGGGUGGAUCCCUUGAGGUCAGGAGUUUGAGAACGCCCUGACAAACAUGGUGAAACCCCAUCUCUACUAAAAAUACAAAAAAUUAGCCAGGCAUGGUGGUGGGUGCCUGUAAUCCCAGCUGCUCGGGAGGCUGAGGCAAGAGAAUCACUUGAACCUGAGAGGUGGAGGUUGCUUUGAGCCCAGAUCAUGCCACUGCACUCCAGCCUAGGUGACAGAACCAGACUUCAUCUCAAAAAAAAAAAAAUUAAUAAUAUAGAGCCCUUGUGUUGACACUAUUCUCUUUUACAGCCAGAAAGAGAGAAAGAUUACAGAAAAUAAAAAUAUAUUAAUAUAUUAAAGGCAUAAUACUGUGAAUUAAUACUGAUUAAUUCAAUAUACUAUUAUAUCAAAAACCAGGAUACUAAUAAUAAAUAAUAUAUGGAAAACCACCAUACACAUUGGUAAAACAUUAACAUUUUCAAAUCUCCAAUCCAAGAAUUUUCCCCAAAUCCAGAUUGUGCAGGUAUUUUAGUGAAUGAUUCACCCUACAGAAUUACUUAUUACAUUUUUCUUUAAACUUCAAUGGAUUUGUAGCUGAAUGAGGGAUCAGGUAAUCACCAGACAUCUUGGAAGGGCACAUGAUCCCUCAGGCCUUUUCUUGGAGAAUGUUUAAAGAAACCUCUUCCUUCCCAUUAGGGAGGCCGACCAUGAGUCCCUUUGUGUUGACAGUGAAGGUGUCUGGGGCUACACCUCUUUCACAUGCUCUGCCACCAGCAGUAAAAGUCAGAAGGCCCUGGCACAGGGCACACCUGAUCUGUUCGGCAUAAGUGCUGAGUCAAAAGCCUGCAAUUAAGGCCAGUGGCUGGGAGGAGGCCUGGUCCCAGCCUCUCCUUGAUUUGCCUCACCCCACCCAAACACAGGUCAUGUUCAUCAUCUGCUAGCCAGCAAGGAAGAUGUGUGGGGUACAGGUUACAGGGACUGAGCCCGGAGCCUGACUUUCUGGGCUCUACCACUCGUUGUCUUCAUUUCCAAAGGCAAAGCACUUGACCUCUCUGAGCCUCCAUUUCUCAUCCAUAAAAUGGGGAUGAUGAUAAAAGUGACUGCUUCAUAGGAUUGUUGAGAGGAUCAACUCAAGUAAUAUGUGAAAAGUGGCACAUAAUAAGUACUCUGUUUCAUGUUUCUAAUUAAUUUUAUUUUUUUUAGGUUUUUUACUGUGGUAAAAUAUAUGUAACAUAAAAUUUACUAUUUUACUAUUUUUAAGUGUAAGUGGCGUUGAAUACAUUGUGGCAUUGAAUACAUUCACACUGUCAUGCAACCAUCAACACCAUCCACCUCCAGCCUUCUUCGUCAUCCCAAACUGAAACUCUACUCAUUAAACAAUAACUCCUCAUUCCCGCUUCCCCUUAGCCUCUGGGAACCAUUGUUCUUUGCCCAUUUUUAAAUGGAGGUUGUUGCUGGGUUGUGGGAGUUCUUUAUUCUGGAUAUUAAUCCUUUACCAAAUAGAUAAUUUGAUUUUUUUUCCUAUUCUGUGUGUUGCCUUGACUAUGUCCUUUCAUGCACAAAAUAUUUUAAUUUUGAUGAAGUCUAGUUUACCUAUUUUUUCUUGUAUUGCCUGUGUUUUGGUGUUAAUUCCAAGAAAUCAUUGCAAAAUUCAAUGUCAUGAAAUUUUGCCCCUUUCUUCUAAGAGUUUUAUAGUUUUAGCUCUUAUGUUUAGGUCAUUGAUGACUUUGAGUUAAUUUUUGUUUAUGAUGUAAGGUAAUGGUACAACUUCAUCCUUUUGCAUGUGGAUAUCCAGUUUUCCCAGCACUAUUUAUUGAAAAAAAGACUGUCUUUUCUCCAUUGAGUGGUCUUGGCAUCCUAGUUGAAAAUCAUUUGACCCUAUAUAUUAAGGUUUAUUUCUGAUUUCAUUGGUCUAUGAGUCUGUCUUUAUGCCAGGACCACUCUGUUUUGAUUACGGUAGCUUUAUAGCAAGUUUUGAAAUCAGGAAGUGUGAGACCUUCAACUUUGUUCUUCAUUUUUCUGGAUGUUUUGGCUAUUCUGGGCCCCUUGAGAUUUGAGAAAGAGUUCCCUCUACUGGCAGAUCUAAGACAGUCUGUUGACUCAGGUACCUGAUAAUUUUUGAAGAUGCAUUUAAGAAGUUAAACUAUUGAGAAUAAAAAAAUCUUAGCUAGGCUUUAUUUUAUUUUUCUGAUCGGUUAGAGACUCUUGGAGACUUCUCUUUCUUCUCAAUCAAUUUGACUGAGGUAUAAUUAAAAAAAAAUAAAACAUACUGAUAUGGCUUGGCUGUGUCCCCACCCAAAAUCUCAUCUUGAAUUAUAAUCCCCAUAAUCAUCAUAAUCCCCACGUGUCAAGAGAGAGACCAGGUGGAAGUAAUUGAAUCAUGGGGGCAGUUUCCCCGAUGUUGUUCUCGUGAUAGUGAGUGAGUUCUCACGAGAUCUGAUGGUUUAUGUGUUUACUAGUUCUUCCUGCGUUAAUUUUCCUUCCUGCCACCAUGUGAAGAAGGGGUCUUGCUUCCCCUUCGCUUUCUUACACGAUUGAAAGUUUCCUGAGGCCUCCCCAGUCCUGCGGAACUGUGAGUCAAUUAAACCUCUUUCCUUUAUAAAUUACCCAGUCUCGGACAGUUCUUUAUAGCAGUAUGAAAACAGACUAAUGCAUAUACAGACACAUACACCUAAGUAACCAUCACUAUCGCAAUCAGGAUAUCAAAUAUUUCUAUCAACCCAAAAAGUUCCUUUGUGAUUUUUGUAGUCAGUCCCCACUCUUGAUUCCCCAUGCCCCAGGCAACCACAGGUCUGCUCCCCGUCAUAUAGACGAGUGUUGUCUGUGUUCAGAUUUCAAAUACAUGGAAUUGCACAAUAUAUGCUCCUAUGUCUAAAUUUUUUUCACUUAGCAUAAUGUUUUCGAAAUUCAUUCAUGUUGUAUUUAUCAGUAGUUUUUAGCAUUGUAUCGCACUGUGGUAUUUCAUUGUAUAUAUCAUCAUUUGUUUAUCCAUUGACCAGUUGAACAUUUGGGCUAUUUCCAGUUUGGGGCUGUUUUGAAUAAAGGUGCCAAGUUCAAGUCUUAAAAAAAAAAAAAAA
This 6352-nucleotide long non-coding RNA is filed under the name Homo sapiens (human). RNAcentral's name for it is "long independently transcribed non-coding RNA 2981, transcript variant 5 (LINC02981)". Lineage: Eukaryota; Metazoa; Chordata; Mammalia; Primates; Hominidae. The record is from RNAcentral.